Molecule: unclassified non-coding RNA, 144 nt
Filed under: uncultured Hyaloscyphaceae
Lineage: Eukaryota; Fungi; Ascomycota; Leotiomycetes; Helotiales
Also listed under: 1 other name
Description: sequence contains ITS2
Source: RNAcentral
CAACCCUCAAGCACUGCUUGGUGUUGGGCCCCGCUGGCAGCGGCGGGCCUUAAAGUCAGUGGCGGUGCCAUCGGGCCCUGAGCGUAGUAAAUCUCCUCGCUACAGGGACUCGGUGGACGCUGGCCAUCAACCCCAACUCUCUCA